GACAGAGGGUGCAGACGUUGUUCGGAAUUACUGGGCGUAAAGCGCGUGUAGGCUGCUUCGCAAGUCGGAUGUGAAAGCCCUGGGCUCAACCCAGGAAGUGCAUUCGAAACUGCAGAGCUGGAGUCCUGGAGAGGAAGGCGGAAUUCUCGGUGUAGAGGUGAAAUUCGUAGAUAUCGAGAGGAACACCGGUGGCGAAGGCGGCCUUCUGGACAGUGACUGACGCUGAGACGCGAAAGCGUGGGGAGCAAACAGG
RNAcentral lists this ribosomal RNA (253 nucleotides) under uncultured bacterium. RNAcentral's name for it is "partial 16S ribosomal RNA". It matches the Rfam family "Bacterial small subunit ribosomal RNA", at positions 524 to 776 of the family's 1533-position model. The record is from RNAcentral.